This 253-nucleotide ribosomal RNA is filed under the name uncultured bacterium. RNAcentral's name for it is "partial 16S ribosomal RNA". It matches the Rfam family "Bacterial small subunit ribosomal RNA", at positions 524 to 776 of the family's 1533-position model. The record is from RNAcentral.
UACAGAGGUCUCAAGCGUUGUUCGGAUUCAUUGGGCGUAAAGGGUGCGUAGGUGGCGAUGUAAGUCUGGUGUGAAAUCUCGGGGCCCAACCUCGAAAUUGCAUUGGAUACUGCGUUGCUUGAGGAUUGUAGAGGAGAGUGGAAUUCACGGUGUAGCAGUGAAAUGCGUAGAUAUCGUGAGGAAGACCAGUUGCGAAGGCGACUCUCUGGGCAAUUCCUGACACUGAGGCACGAAGGCCAGGGGAGCAAACGGG